Molecule: transfer RNA, 54 nt
Filed under: Loxosceles variegata
Lineage: Eukaryota; Metazoa; Arthropoda; Arachnida; Araneae; Sicariidae
Description: tRNA-Leu
Source: RNAcentral
AUAUCACAAAUUUAACAGAACAUUGUAUUAGUAUUAGAAACUAAUUAAGAUAAU